This 336-nucleotide transfer-messenger RNA is filed under the name Alphaproteobacteria bacterium. It matches the Rfam family "Alphaproteobacteria transfer-messenger RNA". From Rfam's summary of the family: Bacterial tmRNA, also known as 10Sa RNA or SsrA, is named for its dual tRNA and mRNA-like properties. The record is from RNAcentral. Lineage: Bacteria; Pseudomonadati; Pseudomonadota; Alphaproteobacteria.
GCUCUUUCAAUCCGCGCGCGAAGGGCUUAUAUCAAUAUUGUUGGGAAACCGACUAUGACGUUACAGGGCCUUAUGGAAUAAGCGUUGCGGACCCGGGGGCGGUACCCGGCGCCUCCACCAAAUUUUUCGUUGGCGACUUUAUCUAACGAUUAUUGGGGGCGAAAUAGGAUCGACGCGCGUGGUAAAGAUUUGGUUUGCGUCCGGUAUGGUACCGUCGUUAUCGGGCCAAAUUCGCUAAUUGCGAACGAUAACUUUGCGGGCGAAGCCCGUCUCGCUGCGUAGCCUAGGCUAAGUAAGCGCGGUUCGGGGGGUGCCGGGCAACAGAAACCCCCCACU